CCUACGGGUGGCAGCAGUGGGGAAUAUUGCGCAAUGGGGGAAACCCUGAUGCAGCGACGCCGCGUGAGCGAUGAAGUAUUUCGGUAUGUAAAGCUCUAUCAGCAGGGAGGAAAAUGACGGUACCUGACGAAGAAGCGCCGGCUAACUACGUGCCAGCAGCCGCGGUAAUACGUAGGGGGCAAGGGUUAUGCGGAUUGACUGGGUGUAAAGGGAGCGUAGACGGUCCUGCAAGCCAGUUGUGAAAGCCCGGGGCUCAACCCCGGGAUUGCAUUUGGAACUGUAAGGCUAGAGUGUCGGAGAGGCAGGCAGAAUUCCUAGUGUAGCGGUGAAAUGCGUAGAUAUGAGGAGGAAUACCAGUGGCGAAGGCGGCCUGCUGGACGAGGACUGACGUUGAGGCGCGAAAGCGUGGGGAGCAAACAGGAUUAGAUACCCUAGUAGUC
RNAcentral lists this ribosomal RNA (440 nucleotides) under uncultured bacterium. Its description in RNAcentral is "partial 16S ribosomal RNA". It matches the Rfam family "Bacterial small subunit ribosomal RNA", at positions 338 to 795 of the family's 1533-position model. The record is from RNAcentral.